RNAcentral lists this ribosomal RNA (511 nucleotides) under uncultured Diversisporaceae. RNAcentral describes it as "SSU rRNA". It matches the Rfam family "Eukaryotic small subunit ribosomal RNA", at positions 569 to 1078 of the family's 1831-position model. The record is from RNAcentral. Lineage: Eukaryota; Fungi; Glomeromycota; Glomeromycetes; Diversisporales.
AGCAGCCGCGGUAAUUCCAGCUCCAAUAGCGUAUAUUAAAGUUGUUGCAGUUAAAAAGCUCGUAGUUGAACUUCGGGGUCUACCCAUUGGUCAGGCUUAAUUGUCUGCACUGGUGAGAUGGAUCUCUACCUUCUGAGGAACUUUCAUGCCAUUUAUUUGGUGUGGUUGGAAAUCAGGACUGUUACUUUGAAAAAAUUAGAGUGUUUAAAGCAGACUAUCGUCUGAAUACAUUAGCACGGAAUAAUGAAAUAGGACGGACUGAUUCUAUUUCGUUGGUUUCUAGGAUCACCGUAAUGAUUAAUAGGGAUAGUUGGGGGCAUUAGUAUUCAAUUGUCAGAGGUGAAAUUCUUGGAUUUAUUGAAGACUAACGUACUGCGAAAGCAUUUGCCAAGGAUGUUUUCAUUAAUCAAGAACGAAAGUUAGGGGAUCAAAGACGAUCAGAUACCGUCGUAGUCUUAACCAUAAACUAUGCCGACUAGGGAUCGGACGAAGUUAAUUUUAUAAUGACGCG